Molecule: long non-coding RNA, 2177 nt
Organism: Homo sapiens (human)
Lineage: Eukaryota; Metazoa; Chordata; Mammalia; Primates; Hominidae
Gene: TMEM72-AS1
Product: TMEM72 antisense RNA 1
Source: Ensembl
CCGCCCCGUCCGCCCCGCUCUGGGAACGCCGCUCCAGCAGAUGUGACAUAGACUGGAAGUGAUGGACCCAGACAACAAUCAGAACCAAAGCACCAGAUGAGCCACCUCAGCCACGUGAGCCAUGCCAGCCACCCUACCUGUGACCCCAUCUGUGGCCCCAGUUAUCAUGGAGUAGAGCCCUUUCUCUGUCUACAAAACCAACUUCCUCGCCCAGCUCAUGGGAACACUUAUUCUGUUGUAUAGAAUGAAGUGUUGCUUGAUUCUAGAAUCAUGCCAUUAAGAACAUUCAUGAUUCAUGAGAGGAGAUCAAAAUAUCAACAUAAACAGGAGUUUGAAAGAAGUUGAUUUCAACCCUUGUGGAUGACUAUGAGAGAUUCAAGGCUUCAGUGGAGAAUGCACCUACAGAUAUGGUGGAAACAGCAAAAGAAAUAGAAUCAGAAGUGGAGCCUGAAGAUUAAACUGAAUUGCUGCAAUCUCAUGAUAAAACUUGAACAGAUGAGGAGUUGCUUCUUACAGCAACCACUGCCCUGAUUAAUCAACAGCCGUCAACAUGUCAACAUCAAGCCUAGACCCUCCACCAGAAAAAGAUUACAAGUCUCCGAAGGCUCGGAUAAUCAUUAGUAUUUCUCAGCAAUGAAGUAUUUUUGAAUUAGGGUCUGUGGAUCAACACUGUCUCCCUGGCCUCUACCCAGCGCGCAGGACCCCUUAGCAGAGCAGGAGAACUCAGGAUCCAGCCAGCUGCCGGCACACUUUCGUCCUCCUCCGCACACGAGGAUCCCCAGGCCCAGCGGUGUUAGCCCAGAGAGGAGCGGCGUUUGGGAUGUGAUCCACAGCUGAUCCCUCGUGGCCCCUCCUCUCCCGAAUCCUGAAACAUGAGGAGGCCCUUCAGCUGCUGGCUCGGAGUCCGACUAUGGGAACUUUCUCCGGUCUACGGGGGCAGCAAGGGUCUCGCCUCAGGGACUUGGUUUAUUUAUCUAGCUGGACUCCAUCCCUUAAUAUCCUACUUACAGAGGAAGAGGCUUUAGCAGCUAAAUGCAGCCCCAUCCCCUCCUGUGGAGACUGUGAGCAGAAAAAGAACAGAUAUUUACAGAGGCCCGAGCCCCCCUUGUUGUUUUCUGCAAGGCUGUCGAGCUGGUGGAGCUUCAGGAUCCUGGUCAGGAACCCCGAACCCAGCGCUGGAGGCCCUGAAGAUCAGGGCACCCGACCCUCUUCCCAGCCGCCAAAGGCCUGUGUUGGUCUGAUUGUGGAUUCCAAGCUCUAAUUUCCAUCCAUCCUCCCAAUCCGAAUUCCCUUUGCAGACAUAAACACCAUCAGCAAUGUAGAGAAUGUGUUUCCUCAUCUUUGAAUAUUAACACUCAUCUGUUUAAUUGAGCUACUUUUUACAUACAUGUAAGAUGUGCUGCAAUUGCAAAAGAAACAUGUGCUUCGUGUUCUAUAAGCCAUAUCUUCCGCAAGACCUGCCAUCAAAUGAUUGCUCAAACAUUUGUUGAAUGGGAUGAGCAAUGGAGGUUCAGACAGGUGCCCUGACCUACCCAGGCUGGAGGGUAGGGAGCUAGAAAUUCAUACAACCAUGCCUUGUUCUACUUGUUUUGUGAAAGAAUCAUGUGACCAGUGACAAAGAGGCUGGGCAGCUGGGUCAGGCAGCAGGGACAGCGACUGAGCUGGGGGGACUACAGUGCUGUGCUCCUCUGCACCCGUGCUGGGAUGUCUGAGGCCAAGCUGACACUGGCCCCCCACAAUCCCUUGGGGCUGCUCCUCCUCAGGGAGUGGCUCUCCGGGUUUCCUGCUUGACUCCUGCUGCUCUUGUGUUGAAGGGCCGUCUCUGGGCAGCUCCCCCUGGCCCCUGGCCAGAGAGCCAGGCCCUGUCAGGCACGCACAUGGAGGAUGAGGGAGGUGCAGUUGUUUUCACAGGUGCAGACUCUAGAGGGACCCCACGUGGACUCUGUGGCUUCUGCCCCGACGCACUCGCGGGAGGACACAGCUCUGCCCGGAAGGGAGAGUGCUGAGCUGGGUCCCUGCUGCUCAUCUCUGUGGCAUCACCCUGUCAGUCCUUCCCUGUCACACAUAUGUUCCGCAAGACCUGCCGUCAAAUAUUUGCUCAGUCAAACAUUUGUUGAAUGGGAUGAGCCAUGGAGGUUCAGACAGAUGCCGUGACCUGAAGUGUCAAAUGAAGGGAU